RNAcentral lists this ribosomal RNA (440 nucleotides) under Turdus philomelos (song thrush). RNAcentral describes it as "partial 12S ribosomal RNA". It matches the Rfam family "Bacterial small subunit ribosomal RNA", at positions 773 to 1408 of the family's 1533-position model. Lineage: Eukaryota; Metazoa; Chordata; Aves; Passeriformes; Turdidae. The record is from RNAcentral.
UGGGAUUAGAUACCCCACUAUGCCUGGCCCUAAAUCUUGAUGCUCGAUAUUACCUGAGCAUCCGCCCGAGAACUACGAGCACAAACGCUUAAAACUCUAAGGACUUGGCGGUGCCCCAAACCCACCUAGAGGAGCCUGUUCUGUAAUCGAUGAUCCACGAUAUUACCUGACCAUUUCUUGCACGAAACAGCCUAUAUACCGCCGUCGCCAGCCCACCUUUCCUGACAGCCCAACAGUGGACGCAAUAGCCUAACCCGCUAGUAAGACAGGUCAAGGUAUAGCCUAUGGAAUGGAAGCAAUGGGCUACAUUUUCUAGAUUAGAACAUACGGAUAGGGGUAUGAAACUGCCCCUGGAAGGCGGAUUUAGCAGUAAAGAGAGACAAUCGAGCCCUCUUUAAGCCGGCUCUGGAGCACGUACAUACCGCCCGUCACCCUCCUCA